Equus caballus (horse) is the source of this 14355-nucleotide long non-coding RNA. The record is from Ensembl. NCBI's taxonomy places the organism in Eukaryota, Metazoa, Chordata, Mammalia, Perissodactyla, Equidae.
GUCACAAAGUGAGCACAGUAGGUUGGUAAUUAAUCUUUAGUUCCCAGGAAGAGAUGCUUAUCCUUAAAGAAGUGCUGAUAUGUGGGGGGAGCCACAUCCCUAUCUUUAAGGGCAUCACUCUUGUCUUUGGGACACUAAAUGUUUAAAGCAGAUGUAUAAUGCAUGCUCAACAGGCCACUUCAGGCCCUUUUGGAAAAAUAAGGUCAGGCCGAAUUAGUUUUACACUAAUGGCUUCCUCAUGUACUCCAAUACAUCCUAUUGUUUUUCAUUUAUUUAUCAUUAUGCAGUAUAUGCUCCUGGCUCAGGUAGGAAACCUAAUCAGUUGGCUCAUUUGGCCUAAUCAGGGCUCAGCUAAAAUGCAAGGCUGGUACUAAAGAGGAGCGACAUACAAUAAUCCUUAAUCCUCACCAACUAUGGGCACUGUUGUCUGAAAAACACGGAGGCUGAAAACCCUUAGUUGGCAAGAAGAAUGAAGGUCUUACUGAAAAUGACGUUUUUGAGGAAAAAUAAUUGAAAUCAUGCUAAAAAUUAAAACACAGUAAAGAAGACUUUCUAGAAAAAAAUCUCUACAUUCAAAAUAAACUAGUUCUGUUCAGGUUAAAGAUUUAAUCUCAGAGGCGGUCCUCCUCCCGUUGUUCAGGAGGAGUUGGAGCGGCUUCAUGAGCCGCUGCGGUAGAUUUCCAGUUUUGUGACAGCCCAACUCUAUCCCAUUUUAUACUGUUUGAACCUACCAUUACCAACUUGAAUUGCACUUUUGGUCUUACUUGCUUUAUUUUUGCAUGUCUUGACAAAAACGUGUUGGUAAUCACCUAGUCUUUUCAUGAAUUAUUGAGGAACUUACAAACCUGUUUUGUGGUGGUUACAAGGCCGCCUGCCCUUAAAUGGAAAUAUUAUCUCUCUGCAAUAUUUCGUAGGUUAGGCCAUAUGACCUGGGCAAAGAGAGAGAGUAGCAAGAAAUAAUUUCUAUUAUGUUCUCUUGCUUAAGAGGACUAAAUAAAAUCUCAAGGAUUAAAAACAAUGUCAUGACUUUGAACAUUUCGACCUACAAUUAUGAACCAGUACUAAGGCUAAUCCUUAAAUUGGCAAGAGAUGAUGAGAGCUUUUUACUACAGGUCACGCUUGAAUUAAGUAGAUAUCUCUCUCCUCCCAUGUCUUUCUCUCCACCUCCCAUUGACCCCUCCCAAACAUUUUCGGGGGAUGCUGAGCCAAAACCAUGGUUGUAUGGAGUGAGGCAAAUAGCGGGAGCAUCUCCUACCACAGUUGCAGAAGGGAGGAGUUUGGGGAUGUGCAAGUUGGGAUCUGUGGAUAAUUCAACUGGAGAAAAGGUCUAAAUGGGUUGUCAAAACAAGGAGGGCCUGACGCUUGUUGGGGAAUCAGAUAAGAGAGUCAAGGUGUGAAAGAGAGAGACUGAGUAAAAGCAGUGGUAGGAAGGAUGAUGUGGAGGGGCUUCUUUGGGUGACUGUCAGAGAUAGGGAAGAGUGGAGCAUGGCUGCGCUUUUCCCUGUCCCUUGUGGUGGGUUAUUUGAUGGUUGGAGCCAUAUUAAGGUCUGGGGUUGAAGCCAACCAACCAUCUUCUUCUCUUCGCUCCUUUCGGCCCCUUACUUGUACAUCCUCACUUCUCCUGAGCCUUCCCUUCCCACAUGAUUUCCUGUCUCUGCUAGAACUUUGAUCUGAUUUAGAUUUUCUGGUAUAUCUGAUAGUCUUACUGUGCCAGGGCCCAGUAUCAGUGCCUCGUGUGCAGGAGGGAUGCAGGUGGGCAUGGGAUGGGGGAGAGGGAAAAUGUCACCCAUAGCUAAGGCUCAUUUCUAAAGGAGCUUUCUGCAUCCUUGAGGCCCACGCUGAACAUCCCCAAACCCCUGAGGUUUCUAAACAUUCCUGUUGGUAAUAUUCCUCCAGAGAUGUAGUGUGAUGUGGAAGACAGAGCACUGGACUCAAGUCCAGGUCUCCAGCUUCCAGUCCAAAGUUCUGUCCACAACACUGUACUUGAAAUCUUGACCAGGCACAUAAAACAGAAGGUGCAGAGUCUCUUUCUUUAAGUAGCAUGCAACAUAGUAAAGAGGAUGGCACUAACAUCCAGUGCAAUGAGAGAACAAUGCAAAAAUGAUGAAGAACUUGCAAGGUGACUUGAGUGUGGUCUGGCGUAUAGAUGCUGGGGAAAUCUGGAGGAUUAGAGCAGGAGGGUGCUGGGGGAGCUCAUCUUUGGAGCCAGGACCCAGACUCCAGGAGAAAGUUCCACAUGCACAUUAUGAUGAGGAGGAUAAAAUAAUCACUAUAAUGAUAAUAAGCCAACUACUAUUUUGAGUGCCUAUUAUAUGCCAGGAUAUUAUACUAGGUGCUUCAUUUUGGAUUAGUUUCUAUUUAUCCUUGUACAUAUCCACAAUGUAGAAAGUGUUAGCUGUAUUUUAUAGAUGGAGACCUUGAAACUCAGAUUAAGAUUCUGACCAAUGUCACAUAGCUAGUACUGGAUAGAGCAGGGGACAUGUCCCACAUCUGCCUGCUGAUACUCCUGGUGAUUUGGCUGUUAUACUGCAGUGUCUGAAAUCAGCAAUGAAAUCUUAGUCCAAACUCUUUUACUGAAUAAAGUGAAAGCAAGUCAGUCUUUCAAGAGGGCCAUCACUCUGAAUUUCAAGUUAUUUCCCUUGCUUCUUCAGUUCAUUUAUAAAAGACAUGGCCGCAAGCAUCCUCCCAAUAGGAUGCUUAACCAGAGAGUAAACUGAAGACAGGAGACUCUGGAAUUUCUUUAUGUGCCUUAUUUCCAACUCCCUUACUGGGCUCAAGAUAACCUAUUAAGCCAUGUGGUCAAAAUAAAUUGACAGAAAUAUUUAUUAUUUCAAUUUACAUUCUAAAUCUUUCAUCUCUCUUAUUGAUUUUAUUUAAGAAUCUAAGUUUAAUUACUAAGUGACAUACUAGUUAUUAAUUCCAUUUGUUUUUGUAAAAGAAAGCACUGUAAUUGGAAUAUAAACCUCGCAUGCUCCGUGGUUGGCUGCCUUCAUUUCAGCUGUGUAGGAUUGGUCUGCUCCAGAGGUAGCAUCUUCUCCUGGCAGCAGGGACACCUCCACUCUGAGCCAGCCUUGGGGUAUCACCCCCUCUGGCCUUGUUCAGUUUGUUGUGACAAGAGAAGGCUUUUUGUGAUGCUGCUUUUGAAGACAUCACCAAACUAUGAAAGCCAUGGAGAUGGUGUGUACACUGUGUGCAUCCAUGAGGAAUGAGGGGAAUGGUAUGUGAUCUAAGUAAGAGUGAGUGUGUGUGUGUGUGUGUGUUUGAUAGAGAGAGGAUAAAAACCAGCAUUACUGAGCACCAGCUUUCUGCCAGGCACUGCUAGGUGCUUUACUAAAUCACACAUCAUCCUCACAAUGUUGAAAGGUAUGUGAUACCAUCACCAUGUAAUAGAGGGGAAAACUGAAACUGAAAGGAAAGAGACUUACCGAAGGCUGCAGAGAAAUCCAGCUGACACCCAAGCAUGACCACCUUCCUCUACAGCUUGCUCAGAUAUUUACGGAGAGCCUAACCUUGUGCUAGUGGAGUCAGGAGGGGCAUAAGUCUGCAAAGUGGGGAGACGACAGAGCAAGACUUUGUUCACAAUCAUGGAACAUCUACACUGAGAAAAAGGGCCCAAGCUCCCUGUUUACCAGUUAGGAGUCAAAGCCAAAGGCUUAACUGAAGUAGUUUUUGCUAAAAGAACACAACUUUUAUAUUCCAAAGAGUCAAAACGUGAUUUUAUUCAGCAUGUAAUUCUAAGAAGUGUGACCAUUUAGAAGUCCUACUGGCAGUAAUAUAAAAUAAAGCAAGGGGAGAUGACACUGGAGAGUAGGUGAUCUGACUAUGAAGACAAAAAUAAAGUCUACAGUUGAUAUAAAUCUAAGCUACCUCACACCACGAGAACAUAUAUUCAAACAGUAAACAUGAGGCAUCAAGAGAAGAUCAGUUUAUGUUAAGAAACAUGUCUUUAGAAGAUCAGGAAUUGUUAUUACACAGUAAAAAUAUUUCCAUCCAAAAUGGGAAUAUGUGGUUACAAAGAGAGUUAUAGACGUGAAUAUAAUAUACCUGAAGUUUGAAGCUUCAGGUCAGAGCAGUAGGUAGAGUGGAAACGCCCAUCCCCUUGAAUUUAGAAGAAAUUUGCUGGAGUCCAGGCUUUCCCCUUGCUGGCCAUAUAUUCUUGCACUUUACCAAUCUGUUCUGUGGUUUUUCCCUUUAUACAAUGAAAAAGACAACCCUAACCCAUCUUAUCUCCAAGAUGGCUACCGAUGUGUUUGAUAAAUUCUGAUAAUCAUGGUCAUGGUCACCAUCAAGAAACUCUCCUUAUUUCCUGGCAAUGCAGGCUUUAAAAAGUAGCACUUGGAUGUGACUGGUAAUCCCAUUAUAGAUUUCUUCUUCUCACUGUUUCCAGAGUCCUCUCAACCCCAGGCAAAGAGAAUUUUGCAUUUUGGCUUUUACAAGGGAUGUGGCUAUGAACAUUUUGUGCACACGUUCUUGCAUUUCUUGAAUACAUUUGCCCAGCAAUGAAAUUGUUGAUAGAAAGGAUUUGUACAUCUUUGGGCCUGAUAAAGUGAAACAGCUAUUCUACCAGAGACAUGGGUUCGUUCAGAUGACUUGUGGGGUCACUACCAUAAUCUAAUGAGGUUGUCCUAUUGUGGCUUAUGUGUAAAUCCAUUUCCCUGUAAGUCUUCCCUGGAGGAGUCAUUCCCAGGACGAGAGUUCUUAAGAUAGGAAAUUGGACUGGAUAGGAAGGCCUUAGAUGAAGAAUAACACCUGCCUCUUUCCAGUCCUCCUUCUCAAGUUAUAGCACCUGGACAAUCUGAGACGACAGUUUCCAAUCAGGGGUGGGAAGGUUCUGAUCCUGGCUCUUUGUCACUAGCUUGCAUUCAGCUACCUUCUCACUGUGAUCAGGACUGUCUCCCCUGUUGGACCAAGAAAGUCCAAUGAGAGGUUUUGGAGACCGUAUUUGUCUUGGAUCCAAAUUUUAUUUCCAUAUAAGGCCCUCACUUGUCUGCUUCUUCUCCCACAUACUCUAGCUUGGCAUAACAUUUGAUUCUUCCAACUCUGCUGACUCCACGUUACCAGAUGUACAAUUCAUGGUGGAAGAGAGCCUCCCUUCCUUAGGAAAGUUAAAUGUUCCUUCUCACUCAGCUCCAGACUCAUCAGUUGAAGACUUCUCUAUUUCCUGUAAGACCAAACAGGAGGCUUCAGCACAUAGCCAAUACUUCUCUGAAUUUUUGUAUCACCUCCUCUAAAGCUAUAUCUUUGAGGGUACAUGAUCAUCUCUGCAAAGUCAGUAUAAGUUAGUUGGUUUCACUAAAGUUUUUCAAAUGUAGGACCGAGAUCUGUAACUUCUCAGCCUGACCUAGGAGAGUCUUAUCGCUAUUUUUUACUGACUCCAACAGUUGAGCCAAUUCCCCAUUUUAGGGUCUAUUUUAAGAACUCCCACUUCUUGCUGCCUAAUUCUAUAUCAGUUAGGAUUCUUGAAGAGAAUGAGUCUCCUCCGUUCUUCGCCCAGCAAAUACAACACCUCCUUUUUAUUUUAAAUAGCUUGUAAUAUCCCCUUUACUAUUCUGCAAUUGAAUUCAUAGUUUAAUCCACUGAUCAUAUAAUUACGAAAAUAUAUCAUGCCCUAACAGCAGUGUAGUGGAGACAUAAAAAGAAGGUAAUUUACAAUAGAAAGAUACAUACAUAUUGAUAUGUAAAUGUCAUCUCACAAUUACACUGGUACCCAUGAAGAUGUUUUCGGGAGUUUGGACCGGGAGAUAGAAUUACCAUGAGUAUGACAGCUAUAAAUGCAGACUAAUAAAGGAGUAUUGUGUUGACAACUCAAGCCCCAUUGGUGCCAUUGCCAUUGGUGACAUGAUUUUCUGAAAAGGUGAACAAAUCUUGGAAGACUUUCAAACGAAAGUACAAUCUUCCCUUGAUUUAAACAAUGGAAAAUUUGGUGUGUAUUAAAACUAUACACAAAGUAAAAAUACUUUGUAUGUAUGUGAAAUGGAGUUAAGCUCUAGGCUCAGAUAAUAAUAAAUAGGUUUAUCACCUACCUGGAAUCCCAGUGGGUCACUAAGAAAUUGUGCUGGAUGAAGGAAGAAUUUUUGUCAUGCAAGCUUAUCCCAUAAAUUCUAACUUCCUUGAUCUCCAUACAUUAAAUGCCAGGCUCACCUCCCAAUUACUGUGAUAAUAAAGACAUCCUUACAAUUUUCCAAAAUGGCCACCCAUUGAUGAACAGCUUUAGGUCAACUAAAAAAAAAUUAGAGGGGAUUGCUGUGAUUGUCUUUCAGUCCCUCUGUCUGCAAGAGUUUCAACCUAAAUCUAGCAGCAAGAUGGCUGCAGUACUUCUGGGAUUCUCAUCUGUACAAAACCUCAUCCAGAGGAAGAGAAACACCACAUGUUCUGGUGGCUCUUUAUAGAAAAGAAACUAUUUUUGCGGAAGUACCUGGAAAUAUCCCUUAGGUCUCAUCAGACCAAGUUGUAGUCUUAGAAUUCCUGAACCAAUCAAUAGAAUUACUCUAACCAAUCAGACUCACUCCUGGAACUGGGAGUGAGGUCAGCUUUCCUUAAAGCACAGAUGUGGAUGGAAAUGUGUGGAUAUCUGAAUAAAAGUCAGGAAUGAAGGGAGAAAUGGAUUCUGGGUAGGCAACCAAAAUGUUCCCUGCAUAUUUGCAGAGUUGAGGAUUGAUUUUAUUCAGGGAGAUUCCAGGUUUGUUGGUGCCUUGAAAGACCACCUGGGCCGGAGGUUACAUAUAUGUGUGUGCAAUGGAUUCCAAAGGCAUAGUUGGAGUAGCUGAGAAUGGGAGGUGGGAGCCCAGGAAAGGAGGAGGCGGGCGCCACAAGUCUGGACGAGCUGCCUUGUAAAAGGAUCAAAGCUCUUUGAGAUCCCUCUGCCAAAGCUCUUGCAGCGUGUGACAGGAACCCAGGUGAAAGAUGGGUGUGAGUGGAACUGAAAGAGACCCCUUGAUGAUUUCCUGAGGAAAUUCACCUGUUUGGCAAUGACUUUGCUCCGCAAGUUUUCCUCCUGCAUCCACAUGUCCUCAUCAACUCCAAACUCAAAGGAAAGCAUGAUGGUUGUGAAACUGAAAAGCAACUUUCAGCGUAUGCAGAUUUGGAACUCAUAAUGCCACCAGCCUGAAACUACUGUUAAUAUUUUGGUUCAACUUCAGUUAUCUGGAAAAGGCCAAGAAGCCAGAGGAGUGAGGCAUUGUUUCAAAUCAUAAACUGACAAGAUUUGAUUAAACGUCAUCAUUUGCCCAGCAUUGUACGUGUACAAUGAAGAACCAAAGACUGGACUCUCAAGGAAGCAAAGAGACAAAAGUGACACAGCCACAAUGCUCAGCAUGCAAGUUAGCACCCAACUGACGGGCCCAGAUCAUGAGAAUUAUAGGCCCUUAGCACACUGAGGAGAGACUGGGGAGGAUCGAGAUUAGUAAAGAGAAAUAGAAGGUUCUCUAGCCAAUGGAGACAACUCAAGCAAAGGCCCUGGAAUGGGACUGGCAAGAAGAAGUGAGACCAGCCGAGUUCAGUCGAGGAACGGGUAGGAUAAUGUAUCUCAUGGUAAGUCAGAUUAUGGGGACUGUUGACAGUCGGGCAGAAGUACUUGGCUCUAGAUAUGGUAGGCAAGACAAAGGAACAAAUAAGCUUAUGGGUGAGUUGGGCAAUUAUGUAGUCUAGUGGCUACUAAACAGUCAAGUCACAAAUAACCUGAUGGUAUUGGUGUGUUCCAUGUGAGAGUGCAAGUGCCCAAUGUCUGGAAUCCCCUCACUUCUCUCUGUUCAACCCCCACCCAACCACAUCCUGGGAAGUGGGCAGUAGGUUAUACUGAGUGCAUUGCACAGAUUAACUAACUCGGUCUUCCUCCCAAGGAUCUUCCUCGAAUGCCUCACCUCAGAAAGAUCUAACACAACAAAUAAAACAAAAGCAGUGAAGAUAGCGACCUGUGAGGACCAAAGCCAUCUAUGCAGAACUCCAGGGAGCUUCUGCACCGGCAACCGGCACAGAGAGUCAAAAUCCUCUUCUGCCUUCUUCACUUUUCUCAGUCCUCAGGACACCAAGCUUCUAACUGACCAUGCUUCCAUAGCAUGCCCACACUUCGCCUGCACUUCCUUUAGGCUGACGUCGACACUCCCCCUGCCAUGCAAUGCUCUAUACUCCCAGGUGAAGAGUUUCCCUUCCCACUGGGCUGGAUGAUUCUGGGACCUAAGGAUCUGCUCAGAAGAGCAGAUGCUCAGUGAGUGCAUAUUAAACAGCUCUAGUGCUCCUUCCCUGGUUUUAUAAUCUGGUCCACAAAAUUCCUGGUAGCCAUCUUCAACAACAUUGCAAAACAACAUGGACCUUUAAAAGAAAGUCUGAGCAUCAGUUAACACAACUUGAAUACAAGAAAUCCCAGCAGCUCACAAUCUUUCACCCUUUUCCAAAACAUCCUGUGGGUCAGCAACAUCCCUCUAACAUGCAGAGUGAAAGGAAGAUCUCCUCUCAGAUCUUACUGCAGGCCCCCCAUUGGGGUCUUUGGGAGAUAGUCACCCAAAUGGCCUGCAUUUGAAGUUGGCAAGACCACCCCAGAAACAGCAUCUGUCCAUGUUCCUUUCACCAAGAUCCGUGGUCUGCUGAUUGUUGAGACUUGGGUUCAAGUGUUGACUUCCCUUUUUUUUUUCUUAAAGAUUUUAUUUUUCCUUUUCCUCCCCAAAGCCCCCCGGUACAUAGUUAUAUAUUUUUAGUUGUGGGUCCUUCUAGUUGCAGCAUGUGGGACACCGCCUUAGCAUGGCCUGAUGGGUGGUGCCAUGUCCGCACCUAGGAUCCAAACCAGCAAAACCCUGGGCUGCCACGGUGAAGUGCGCAAACUUAACCAUUUGGCCACGGGGCCGGCCCUCUUGACUUCCCUUUUAUGGGCUAAAGUUUUGUCAACUCACUGUACCUCAGUGACAUGGCGAGUGUCCCUUCUGCUUGUGUCAUCCCUGCCUCAGUCUUUCCUGCCCACGUGCAGUGUUGCGCUGCAAUACAACAGGGAGAUGGGAAGGGCUUGCUGAGUCAAACUGGAGGCCAAGCAGAGGCAGCUUUGCCUACGUGAAGUGCUCCACCCUCUCAGCCUUUCCUAUUGAAACCACACUCUCACUGACUCUCUCUUCCACUAUCAGCUUCCAGACAGAUCCGGUGUCUCCAAAUGCUCUGUUCUUCUCAGGCAAGACUUUCAGCUGCACAGUCCUACCUUCUUUCUCUUUUCUUUCUUUCACACCCCAUAACCAAAUCUGGUCAACUAUAUUUUUAAAUCAUAUACCCAAACCAAUCACUUCUCACACCAUUCGUCACUACCACCCUAGUAGCCAUCAUCAUCUCUCAGUUGGAUUAUUUCGACAGUCCCCAAAUUGGUCUCCCUGCUUUCACCCUUGUGCUGACUGCACAUAAGAGCCAGGGGGGUCCAUUUGAAAUGUAAGCCAUGUCCUGUCCCUCCUCCUCCAGGGGCCUUCGAUUUACUCAGAGUAAAAUCACCUUCUCUCUAAAGGCCUUACGGCCCUAUGAUCUGGUCCCCAUCUCCUACUCUCCUCCUGCUUAGACUCCACCCACUCUGGCCUCCACACAGCCAGGCACCCUGCUACCUCAGGGCCUUUGCAUUUGGAUUAUUUUUCUGCUUGAAAUUCUUUUCUCCAAGAUACCCAUAUAAUUUGUUUCUUCUCUUCUUCCCAGGUUUGCUCAAAUGUCACCUCAUCAGAGAGUACUCUCUGACCUCCCCAUGCAAAAUGCACCUCCAUGGAAGUCUCUCUCUCCCUCUUGCUGAUUCAUUUUUCUUCCUGGCACUGAGGGCCAGCUAAUAUUUUAUAUAUUUAUUUAUCUCUUUACUGUCUUUCUCCACCCCACCCCCACCCCCCCAAGCCUCCAGAAUGUUAGUCCUUUAAGUACUGAGAUUUUGCUUUUUACCACCAUAUUCCCAGAGCUUAGAACAGUGCCUACCACAUUAAAGUGCUCAAUAAAUAUUUGCUGAAUGAAUGGUGAACCAAUAGAAGGUUUCAGGACGCUGUGUUCUGUCAUAUUUUUGUGUCAUAUUUUUCUAAAUGAUUUCCAAAAUUAUCAGGGGAUUCUCCAUAGGACCUGUGCUCGAUCAUUUUAAGGAACUAUGCAAACUUGAGUAGACAUCAGGAGACCUGUGAUUGCAUCCCAGCUGUGGGGUUUCACCUACCUGAGGCUCACUUUCUUUCCUCUGUAAAAUGGACAUACUAAUUCCUGUUUCGUUUCUAUUACAUUUGCAAAAGCCAAAGUCGUGGAGGCCUCCCAUGGGCUGUAGUCAAAUAGUGACCGGAGUGGCCAUCCCUCUCGUCUCGAGAAAGUUGAGUUCAAUGAAAUGACAAAUGAAGGGAAGGAGUGGUCGUAAAUUUUGUCAACUGUGAGUUGCUAAUGACCCAGCAUGAGCAUUCUUGCUCAAGGCCACUCAGCUACAAAGAGGGUGUCCAUAAAAGGAACUUCUUGUCCAUUGAUGCCCCACCCCUGCAUAUUCUAGUGGGUGUUUUCAGGGCCCCAACUGAACGCAAGCUUGCAUUUGUGGCGGUUGCCUAGCACUUGGCUGAAUCUUCGUGAAGAGUGUUUAUAGGCCUAGAACACACACGGCAACCUGUCCUCCUCUCCAACCUUGCAGACCUGCUACAAUAAUUAAAUGAGAUAAUGCUUGUACAGGGCUUCACACAGCAUCAGAAAUACAACUAUUGUUAGCCUAAACCUGCUAAACUUUGACUAAUGCCAAAGCUGGUGUAUAACUGGUACUAGAAAGAACUUGGAGGGAUGAAGAAAAAGGAGAGAAGAAGAGAAUAAAAAAGUAUUUUUUUAUUUCAUCUACAAAGCUAUAUUUUCACUUUGUGUAUUUAAGCAACCAGAUAUUUCCCGAACAUGUUUAGAAAUCACAGAGAUGCUGUGUAAGACACAGACCCUGACCUUGAGCUAUGCUGUAGGAAGACUAAUUCAGAUGUGGGUUAUAGGAGAGACUAGAACAGGGAUAGGCUGAAGGCAGGGGCACUGGAUGUUGGCUGUUGUGGUUCAGGUGAGAAAUUGUAUGGGACUAAAAGCUGAUGGUCACAGUAAGGAUGGUGAAGAAAGAAAAAAUACAAGGGACGUUUGGAGGGAAAAUAUGAUAGAGCUUUGGUGACAAGUUUUCGUUCCCUAACCACUUCAUUCCUUCAUUUCCUUUUACUGUGCUUUAGAUGCCAGGCUCUGCAGCAUCCACUGGAAAUGUAAGGAUAUGAGCAUCAUGAGAAGUUGCAUUGUUUUGUCCUCCCACGAGCCAGAUAGAGUAUUAGGAAGUCUAUAGACAUCAUGGCAUUUAAUGUUCAGAAGGUCCCUGUCACUCAGAAUGGUCAUUCCCACUCUUAGUUACAGAAACUGGAGCUCAGAGACAGAGGGUAAACAACAUGCUCAAGCCACACAGCAAGGCUGAGCUGGAGUUAAAAUCCAGGUGUGUGAAUUCUAAGCCUGGCUCUUUCUACUGCAUCAGAGAUGACUAGGGCACGGCUCAUGUCACCGAAGGAGCUGGAGUCUAGAAAGCUGAAAGUGGGGGGCAGAGAUGAUGGAAGGUUGUAACAGGGCAUACCGAGAGCCUCUGACAUAGAAGAAAGGGUCAGAAGGAGAAGGAAAAUUCCAAUACGUUUAAGCUGUUGAAUCUGAAGGAUUUAACUUGCCACCAACUCUGCGAGAAGGCAUGGGCUGUACUUGAGAAGUGGCUGGGCUGUGCCUCCACAGGUUGGGGGCACGAAUUCUGGCUCCUCCACUCCUUGCUGCAUGACCUUGGGCAACUGACUUUUGUCAAUGGGGCUGGGUUUUCUCACCCACCAGGAAUGUUGGACUAAGCAUUUCCCAAAGUCCCUUCCAUGUCUACGCUGUGGUAGCACAUGAGCGGGCUGAUUAACAAUGAGAAGUGAAUAGGAGGGAGAUUCAGCUGGCUUUUUUUGAUCUUUUUUCUUUGAUCAAUAUUUCAAAUGAAAACAUGAAAUGUUUCUUUCAUUGCUUUCCAGUUCAUCCCUAAAGUGUGAGACACGGAAUCAAAAGGUUGGGGUCCUGGAAGGAUGUCUACAAGGAAUCUCAGGGGGAAACCAGGCGAGGAGCCUAGACUAGGCCUUCUUCUCUGGAGCCCAUGACAUCACUCACAUUUCCCUGGAGUUUUGGGAACAGAACAUACCAUUAACUUUAUCUGAGUAGAGAGAGGCGCAGUUGUAGACAACAGGAUGCCCACGGAUAAAGGAUGCAGCCUGGCCCCCUGCUCUCAGCACUGCAAAUGGGGAAUGGAUGAGCCAGGAGAUGGGGAUGGGGUGAAAAUGGAUGUGGAGAAAGCACACACUUCUCCCAGCUGACACUCAGUGCCUUUCAGCCAGCACUCCAUGUGGGUGAAUGGGAAAACUGAAUACCCAGCUAUAGCCGGAGGCAGAGCUAUUAUGCGCGUCUGGGCGAAAGCAAAAUUGGGGCCGAGAAUGGACUUCUGUUCAGGCAGGACUUUCAAAGGGUUUGGUGCCCACACUGAUAGUUUCUGUUGGCACCAACGAUGUCUGUUCACUUGAAACUGAACCUCGCCAUUAACUCGGUUUCCGCCUACCUGCUUUCUCUGGCUCUCUCUUUCCUUAGACUUCACUGAACAAUAUUAACAAAUAGGACAUUUUUUUUUACCCAAUUUCUGGUGAAAAUACAUUAGACUCCUAACAGGAGUGUGCUCAAGCCAGCUUAUGAGCUGACUGUUAAGUUUUCAGAAAAUUUUCUGGCUGGUUGUUAAACAUAGCCGUUAUAAAAAUUAAAUUACAUAACAAUUAAAUAAAUUAUAACAAAAACAAGAGUCAUAAGUACUCAAAAUCACCAUUUCUUAAUUAUUUUACCCCAUUUUACUAUUAUCUAUGUUGUUGAGGUUACUUACAUCUGUGUGGUGAAAAUAUUAUACAAUGGUGUGCACGUAUUUUCGCAACUCCGUGUUCAGUGAAUUUAUCUUGGUAGCUCUAAAUUGGUCAUGGUUGGAGGUAUUUACAUCAUGAAAAUCUGCAAACAUUACAAAUCAGGGCUUGAUUUAUUGAUUUGUUGAUUGUCUAGACAUCAGGGAAUGAUGGGUAAAAUGCUAAUAAUGGAAAUUAAAUUAAAAGUGGAGCCAUUGCAUUGUGAAUAACACACACAAAACAUGGAGCAGUAUUAUUUUAGUAUUCAAAAACAAUGAUCUGAGUCAGCAAAGAAGUUGCUCAUGUCAUUGACAAGUAAGUGAGAUGCCAACACAUACCUUCGUCGUUUCACUUUCAUCUUACUCAUUAGCUAAAAUGAAAGUAUCAACUCAUACUCAUGUCUAAGCUACAUGCAUUGUUCAUCAAUAGCUAUCAUAAGUUGGCAACAGAUGCACGAGUUUGGCAAAAAUCAGUGAAAGCAUUCUGUGGGAAUUGAUUGCCUAUGUGGAAUUUACAACAAAGAAUUGUAAAUUACAUACUACACAUAAUUUAUAUUAGUAAAAUUUAUAAUCAACUUAUGUAUUAUAUAUAUAUAUAUUCAAUUUACGUACACAUCUAUAUCUCUAUUUCAAUUUUUUCCUCCCAGAGCGCUGGUUGGCACAUAUUGACCAGCAUACCACUAGCUCUUAGGGUCAUCGUUUGACUGAUAGGAAAAAGGAGACUUAUAUAUAAUGUCGCUAUUUGUGACUUUGGGCCCAGACAGCACUGGGCCCAGAGUAGAUACUCAAGUUAAGCGACUUGGAGACUAUAUCAAGAUUUUAUAAUGUUAUUAGAUUAUAUUAAAGUACUCUAUCAUUUUUAUCUCCAGUGCUUUCUAUUGACUUGCUAACAUAGCCAUUCAUUCCCUAUCUCCAAAUAAAAAUUUCUGCCUACAGUCUUUGACACUGAGGAUUCCUAGCAGGGUAGAAAUGUGGAAUGAAGUUGGAGCCAGAGGCGUAGAGCUUAGAAAGAGAAAGCAGGCUGGGAGCUUUCUCCCUUGAAAGCUUAGGUGUCCUGGGAGUGAGAUUCCACGCCAGAAUAAGUCAGCAGACAUCAUUAAAGGCUGGACUUCUGGCAGCCCCUUGCAUCAAACUAUUUUACCUCCCUCUGAGUACACACCAAGCACUCUAUAAAUGCAGAGUCCACAGGGAGUCAACACAAGACUGAUGAAGAGAGUGCUCUAUGUCUUCUUUAGUGCUCAGUGCUUUAUAUCCAUUAACUUUCACCCUUAAAUAGCCCUCUGCAGCCAGUAUUAUCUGACUCCAUUUUACAGAUAAGUAAAAGGGGCAAAGAUGUUAAGCAUCUUUUAACAACUAACAUUUAGCAGGUCUGAUUGUUAGCUGACCCUCGUUUAUGGGCCUCUCCAAUUCCGAUAGCUGUCUUCUUGCUCCGCACCACUGUGAGGGAGGUGGUACAUGAGAGCUGGUGCAUGGGUAGAGAAGGAGGUGUGGGC